Ameiurus melas (black bullhead) is the source of this 76-nucleotide non-coding RNA. Lineage: Eukaryota; Metazoa; Chordata; Actinopteri; Siluriformes; Ictaluridae. The record is from the annotation of a GenBank genome assembly.
CCGUGGUUAGUCCUCAGUGGUUAGGACGUUUGAUGUCUGAUCGGAAGGUUGUUAGUUCAAAUCCCAGCACCACCAA